RNAcentral lists this transfer RNA (60 nucleotides) under Weissella halotolerans. RNAcentral describes it as "tRNA-Ile". It matches the Rfam family "tRNA", at positions 1 to 56 of the family's 71-position model. Rfam says of the family: Transfer RNA (tRNA) molecules are approximately 80 nucleotides in length. The record is from RNAcentral. Lineage: Bacteria; Bacillati; Bacillota; Bacilli; Lactobacillales; Lactobacillaceae.
UGGGACUGUAGCUCAGCUGGUUAGAGCGCACCCCUGAUAAGGGUGAGGUCGGAGGUCCCA